CCAGCUCUAGAUUUUUUGCAACCCAAGCAGAAAAAAGAAAAAGAAAAAAGGAUGGCCGGAAUGUCGCCCCUGGAAUUGUGCUGCUCCAAGCAAGUGCUUGCUUUGCUAGUGCCUAGAACCAGUCCU
Long non-coding RNA from Dermochelys coriacea (leatherback sea turtle), 126 nucleotides. RefSeq lists it as uncharacterized. The transcript is spliced from 3 exons. Lineage: Eukaryota; Metazoa; Chordata; Testudines; Dermochelyidae. The record is from RefSeq and is a predicted model, not a curated record.